AGUGAACGCUGGCGGUAGGCCUAACACAUGCAAGUCGAACGGCAACACAGUAAGAGCUCGCCCCUACGGUUGGCGAGUGGCGGACGGGUGACGAAUACAUCGGAUUCUACUUUGUCUGGGGGGAUAACGGAGGGACACUGCUGCUACUACCGCAUACAUCGUACGGGAGGGAGCAAGAGUGCAACGCACCUUGCGCGACUGUUAGAGCCGAUGUCGCAUUGGCUAGUUGGCGGGGUAAGGGCCCACCAAGGCGACGCUCCGUAGCCGGCCUGAGAGGAUGAUCAGCCACACUGGAACUGAGACACGGUCCAGACUCCUACGGGAGGCAGCAGUGGGGAAUCUUCCGCAAUGGGCGCAAGCCUGACCGAGCCAUGCCGCGUGGGUGAAGAAGGCCUUCGGGUUGUAAAGCCCUUUUGUUGGGAAAGAAAAGCAGCAGAUUAAACCCCCGCUGUUCUGACGGUACCCAAAGAAUAAGCCCCGGCUAACUUCGUG
Molecule: ribosomal RNA, 492 nt
Filed under: uncultured bacterium
Lineage: Bacteria
Description: partial 16S ribosomal RNA
Rfam family: Bacterial small subunit ribosomal RNA
Source: RNAcentral